GGAGAUGGUGAAAGCAAUGCAACGCGGGCCUUUUGCUCGAGAAAGCUGAAGCAGAUAGAAUUGCAGCUAUAAAAAAUGCCGAGGCAAACCAACAUGUGCAGGAAAAAACAUCCGCUUCCACUGCCCAAGUUGAAGUGAGAUGAUUCAACAUAGCAUUGACAGAAAUAAAAUCAGAAUUUACAUGUAACGUCUCAUCCCUCUCUUCUUACCCUUUUUAUUUUUGCUUUUCUUUUCGUGGGCCUUUUUUUGCUAAGUUGGUAAAAAUUGAUAUGAUUUUGGCAAUGCCGAGGACGGAGAACCCGUGUUGGCUAAUCUGGAUACAUGGGCAACUUUUGGUAGGUGUCAUAUAAUUCAUGGUUGCCUUUCAAUAAAGCCGUUUUGUUGCUUCACAUGUACAGAUGAACAAAUGAAUUCUAGUUCAUCUUUGGAAGGACGAACUAUGCCUAGAGUUCAUUUUAUACAUCGAUUGCUACAAUUUUCGGUUGCACCUCCAAUUUAUCGUGCCCACGGUAAACGCUGGGUAGCCAAGUGAAAGUGAAAUUGAUGAUGGUCCAUCUUUGUCUGAUGUUUGAUUAGUCAAAUGAACAUGCUUUCGCCUAUGUUCACGGGUCUUUUACCUUGGUUGUGCUUUAGUAUUUUUCAUCCACCUCUCCCCUUUUCGAAAAGUUUGUAUUGCUUAGCCUAGUCUCAGUUUGAUUAUGGAUGAGAUUGAAAUUGGUCUUGUGAAUUGGAAGGUGAAACUUCUUUUUAGUUUUCUUUUUUUUUAUGUGCAAUUCAUUUUGUUGAAUUCUUUGAUAUGACCCUAAUUAUUCAUUCUGGAAGGGCCAUAAUUUCGGAAUCCCGAAAAAUUAUAUUCCCAUUUUGGUCUAGGUUUUUUUGGAGAUUUUUUAUUGCUUUGAUUUUCUAGUAUUUCCGUCUUUUAGUGAUUUUUUUCACUGAUCAAAAUUUCGUACUUUUUCGGUUCC
This 965-nucleotide long non-coding RNA is filed under the name Actinidia chinensis (golden kiwifruit). Its description in RNAcentral is "long non-coding RNA (ACHI_LNC005039)". The record is from RNAcentral. Lineage: Eukaryota; Viridiplantae; Streptophyta; Magnoliopsida; Ericales; Actinidiaceae.